AGCCCCGUAACCGUCUGUUCCCGAAAUAACAAAAUCACGUGGCCGUGUCGUUUCCCAGAGUGAUCCGGUGCCCCCCAGACGCACCCCUUCACUGUCGCUCUUCUCAGAGACAGAUCUCACUCCUUUGGGCGCUGUGCCGCCCGCAAUGAAACUCACCGAGCCGGAGGUCCUACGGAAAGAGCUACGGGGGCCGAGGGGCCGCUGCAACUCGCCGACGCUCGAGCCGCGACCAGGGCCCUCCGCCUCUUCACUGCCGCUCCGCUUCACGUCGCUGUCACGCACACCCGUCAAGGACCAGGCAUUGCCACCAUGGAAAUAAUUGACAAUUAAGAAAAUAAUGCCCUUUGUUAUUAAAACGCAAAUGUACAGCCCCGAAGUCAACCCACUGCUGCACGAGGGCCCUCUUCUCCACGCCGUGAGGGUUGUCGGGGGUUGUUUGACCACGGUCAUCGCACGCUCGUCAGUGCGCGAGCAGGAGCGGAAAGAUGGCAGCGGCCUUCGAGCGGCCCACUCUGUUAAGCGAGAAAUCACGAGGAAUGCCGUCAACGCGGCGCCCGAAAAAUCGAGCAUCGAUCUCCUGGUCUAAAUAACAAACAAAAAAGUUAAAGGUGCGGGAGCAGAGACGUGGGCGCGCAAAAGUGUCGUGCACAACGGUGCGCUGAAGCAUUGCCCUCCGAUGAGCUCCACAUAGCACAGCCCAGCAACCUACCUGGCACCUACCUGGCAUGCCCAGUGAUCACCCAAUCAACCAUUGUGCGGGGGCAAACCCUGCCUAGCUUCCAAGAUUUAACAAGUUGGCAUAUUCUAAGUGAUUUAGCCGUGUGCUUCAAAUAAUUAUAAAGCUCAGGAAAGCCUCGGUGAGACUUAAAAUAUUAUUCGGGAGCAUCCUGCAUUGGGAUGAUUGGCCAAUUCCGUUAAUCAGCGGUUGACGUUGUGCUCACAGGGAAUCUUGAGUACCCGGAGAAAAUCCACGAUUGAAUCCUCAGGGUAUGGCACCUUGAUUGUCCACCAGCGCUCGCCCACGCAGCGCUGGAUCACAGGCGUGCACCACCAGCAAACCUGGCUCAGAUGGCAGGAGGGGACUACGUUGUCCUCUGGAUCGCCAUAACACAAUAUCGGGAAGCAAACGAAUGUUAUUUUCGGUGUUUUAUUACAAUAAUUAUAAUUUUGUGCUGCAUUAUCGUGAAAGCAGAAUUUUUAUAAAAAAAUCAUUGUUUUCAUUUCUUCCAACAGAGACGAUAGCGUUUGUAAAAAUUAGCAGUAUGUAGUGCAAUAGGUUUUCCCAUCAUGCAUCAAAUCGACCAUCCUCCGAGUUGAAUUAAGUGCUCAAGUGAACACAAAAAAAAACUAUAUAAUGCUGAGAUGGGCUUUUGAUAUGUAUUCGGAGUUGAACUGCUACAGUCAGCCUCCUUCCUGUUGCUAUAUCUGUCGAUUACAUUAUCAGUUUCUGCAAUGUCUGCCAUGUGUGUAGGCGACUUUGUUCCCCACAAAGGGUGAACCGGUUUGUGUAAAUUCUGGCAGGGUGCCUGCAUAUUGGGCAACAACACCCAGCCAUGGGGCAUCUCAGUCACAAGCCUGGCGACCUUGAGACGGAGGAGUUAAACUGCCAAAUGUUUUGUGUCGGAAAAAUCAGUAUUUUUUUGGUCAAAAUACAUUGGCAUACAGCGCAGGUCUGAGCACAUUGCAUCGUAUUAUGAGCGACAGCGAAUAUGCAGGAACACAGUUCCCUGAACAAAUUUUAAAAUAAAAGUAAACAAAUAAGAAAAACGCAUCGAAGAGACAAAAAUCUACGUAAUUUUAAAUCAUGGACUUGCCAGCUCUUUUUGGCUGAUAUUUUUACGGGUGACAUUUGGCACUCUUUGUAUUUAAAAUUCCGUCUUGAAAAGCAACAGACCCCCUCCCCUUGCCUUGACAGGAUUCUCCUACUAUGGCAGGCUGCCAGCUACGAAAGUGGUUAGAAAAAUGCGGUCACUGAG
Molecule: long non-coding RNA, 1976 nt
Organism: Petromyzon marinus (sea lamprey)
Lineage: Eukaryota; Metazoa; Chordata; Hyperoartia; Petromyzontiformes; Petromyzontidae
Source: RefSeq, a predicted model, not a curated record